GCUACUGUAGCUCAACUGGUAGAGCAGCUGAUUUGUAAUCAGCAGGUUGGGGGUUCAAGUCCUCUCGGUAGCUCCA
This 76-nucleotide transfer RNA is filed under the name Candidatus Poribacteria bacterium. RNAcentral's name for it is "tRNA-Thr". It matches the Rfam family "tRNA". Rfam says of the family: Transfer RNA (tRNA) molecules are approximately 80 nucleotides in length. Their secondary structure includes four short double-helical elements and three loops (D, anti-codon, and T loops). The record is from RNAcentral. Lineage: Bacteria; Candidatus Poribacteria.